GCCAGGCGGAGUGGCGUGUGCCUGUAGUCCCAGCUACUCAGGAGGCUGAGGUGGGAGGAUCGCUUGAGCCCAGGAGUUCUGGGCUGUAAUACGCUAUGCCGAUCGGGUGUCUGCACUAAGUUCGGCAUCAAUAUGGUGACCUCCCAGAACGGGGGACCACCAGGUUGCCUCCUUAGGGUGAACCGGCCCAGGUCGGAAACGGAGCAGGUAAAAACUCCUGUGCUGAUCAGUAGUGGGAUCGCGCCUGUGAAUAGCCACUGCACUCCAGCCUGGGCAACAUAGUGAGACCCCGUCUCU
Molecule: signal recognition particle RNA, 297 nt
Filed under: Aotus nancymaae (Ma's night monkey)
Lineage: Eukaryota; Metazoa; Chordata; Mammalia; Primates; Aotidae
Description: Metazoan signal recognition particle RNA (ENSANAG00000010267.1)
Rfam family: Metazoan signal recognition particle RNA
About the family: The signal recognition particle (SRP) is a universally conserved ribonucleoprotein. It is involved in the co-translational targeting of proteins to membranes.
Source: RNAcentral